AUUGAACGCUGGCGGCAGGCCUAACACAUGCAAGUCGAGCGGAUGAAGGGAGCUUGCUCCUGGAUUCAGCGGCGGACGGGUGAGUAAUGCCUAGGAAUCUGACCGGUAGUGGGGGAUAACGUAAGGAAACGGGCGCUAAUACCGCGUACGUCCUGAGGGAGAAAGUGGGGGAUCUUCGGACCUCACGCUAUUUGAUGAGACUAGGACGGAUUAGCUAGUUGGUGGGGUAAAGGCCUACCAAGGCGACGAUCCGUAACUGGUCUGAGAGGAUGAUCAGUCACACUGGAACUGAGACACGGUCCAGACUCCUACGGGAGGCAGCAGUGGGGAAUAUUGGACAAUGGGCGAAAGCCUGAUCCAGCCAUGCCGCGUGUGUGAAGAAGGUCUUCGGAUUGUAAAGCACUUUAAGUUGGGAGGAAGGGCAGUAAGUUAAUACCUUGCUGUUUUGACGGUACCAACAGAAUAAGCACCGGCUAACUUCGUG
Molecule: ribosomal RNA, 484 nt
Filed under: uncultured bacterium
Lineage: Bacteria
Description: partial 16S ribosomal RNA
Rfam family: Bacterial small subunit ribosomal RNA
Source: RNAcentral